AGAACGAACGCUGACGGCAGGCCUCAAACAUGCAAGUCUAGGGGGUGUAGCAAUACAUCACCGGCGGACGGGUGCGUAACGCGUGGGAAUGUACCUAUUGGUUCGGAACAACUGAGGGAAACUUCAGCUAAUACCGGAUGAGCCCGAAAGGGGAAAGAUUUCUCGCCAAUAGAUCAGCCCGCGUCCGAUUAGCUAGUUGGUGGGGUUAAAGCCUACCAAGGCGACGAUCGGUAGCUGUUCUGAGAGGAAGAUCAGCCACACUGGGACUGAGACACGGCCCAGACUCCUACGGGAGGCAGCAGUUGGGAAUCUUGGACAAUGGGGGAAACCCUGAUCCAGCCAUGCCGCGUGAGUGAUGAAGGCCUUCGGGUUGUAAAACUCUUUCGACGGGGACGAUAAUGACGGUACCCGUAGAAGAAGCUCCGGCUAACUUCGCGCCAGCAGCCGC
This 448-nucleotide ribosomal RNA is filed under the name uncultured bacterium. RNAcentral describes it as "SSU rRNA". It matches the Rfam family "Bacterial small subunit ribosomal RNA", at positions 26 to 518 of the family's 1533-position model. The record is from RNAcentral.